GUGCCAGCCGCCGCGGUAAUACGUAGGGUGCAAGCGUUAAUCGGAAUUACUGGGCGUAAAGCGUGCGCAGGCGGUCUGAUAAGACAGUCGUGAAAUCCCCGAGCUUAACUUGGGAACUGCGAUUGUAACUGUCAGACUAGAGUGUGUCAGAGGGAGGUAGAAUUCCACGUGUAGCAGUGAAAUGCGUAGAGAUGUGGAGGAAUACCGGUGGCGAAGGCGGCCUCCUGGGAUAACACUGACGCUCAUGUACGAAAGCGUGGGGAGCAAACAGGAUUAGAUACCCUGGUAGUCCACGCCCUAAACGAUGUCUACUGGUUGUUGGGGAUUCAUUUCCUUAGUAACGAAGCUAACGCGUGAAGUAGACCGCCUGGGGAGUACGGUCGCAAGAUUAAAACUCAAAGGAAUUGACGG
This 411-nucleotide ribosomal RNA is filed under the name uncultured bacterium. RNAcentral's name for it is "bacterial SSU rRNA". It matches the Rfam family "Bacterial small subunit ribosomal RNA", at positions 505 to 916 of the family's 1533-position model. The record is from RNAcentral.